AACGCGAAGAACCUUACCUGGGCUCGAAGCGCAGUGGACCGGGGUAGAAAUAUCCCUUCCUCGCAAGAGGCUGCUGCGGAGGUGCUGCAUGGCUGUCGUCAGCUCGUGUCGUGAGAUGUUGGGUUAAGUCCCGCAACGAGCGCAACCCUUAUUACCAGUUGCUACCAUUUAGUUGAGCACUCUGGUGAGACCGCCUCGGAUAACGGGGAGGAAGGCGGGGAUGACGUCAAGUCCUCAUGGCCUUUAUGUCCAGGGCUACACACGUGCUACAAUGGCCGGUACAAACCGUCGCAAACCCGUGAGGGGGAGCUAAUCGGAAAAAGCCGGCCUCAGUUCGGAUUGGAGUCUGCAACUCGACUCCAUGAAGCUGGAAUCGCUAGUAAUCGCGGAUCAGAAUGCCGCGGUGAAUACGUUCCCGGGCCUUGUACACACCGGCUAC
This 439-nucleotide ribosomal RNA is filed under the name uncultured bacterium. RNAcentral's name for it is "bacterial SSU rRNA". It matches the Rfam family "Bacterial small subunit ribosomal RNA", at positions 958 to 1397 of the family's 1533-position model. The record is from RNAcentral.